Molecule: unclassified non-coding RNA, 324 nt
Organism: Erinaceus europaeus (western European hedgehog)
Lineage: Eukaryota; Metazoa; Chordata; Mammalia; Eulipotyphla; Erinaceidae
Gene: 7SK
Rfam family: 7SK RNA
About the family: 7SK was discovered as an abundant small nuclear RNA in the mid-70s but a possible function has only recently been suggested. Two independent studies have found that 7SK RNA binds the CDK9/cyclin T complex (known as elongation factor P-TEFb). P-TEFb activates transcription by phosphorylating the C-terminal domain of RNA polymerase II.
Source: Ensembl
GGAUGUGAGGGCGAUCUGGCUGCGACAUCUGUCACCCCAAUGAUCACCAGGAUUGAUUUGGCUGAUCUGCCUGGCUAGGCGGGUGUCUCCUUCCUCCCUCACAGCUCCAUGUGCGUCCCUCCCAAAGCUGCGUGCUCAGUCGAAGAGGACUCCGUCCACGUGCUCAGUCGAAGACCCUCCGUCUUCGGUCAAGGGUAUACGAGUAGCUGCGUUCCCCUGCUAGAACCUCCAAACAAGCUCUCAAGAAUAGGAAAGCUAUCAGGGGAGGGGAUGGGAUACAGAGUUCUGGUGGUGGGAACUGUGUGGAGUUGUGCCCCUCUUAUC